Molecule: ribosomal RNA, 433 nt
Filed under: uncultured bacterium
Lineage: Bacteria
Description: partial 16S ribosomal RNA
Rfam family: Bacterial small subunit ribosomal RNA
Source: RNAcentral
AAUGAACGCUGGCGGCAUGCCUAACACAUGCAAGUCGAACGAGACCUUCGGGUCUAGUGGCGCACGGGUGCGUAACGCGUGGGAACCUGCCCUUAGGUUCGGAAUAACUCCCCGAAAGGGGUGCUAAUACCGGAUAAUGUCUUCGGACGAAAGAUUUAUCGCCUUUGGUUGGGCCCGCGUUGGAUUAGGUAGUUGGUAGGGGAAAAGCCUACCAAGGCGACGAUCCGUAGCUGGUCUGAGAGGGGGGUUGGCCACACUGGGACUGAGACACGGCCCAGACUCCUACGGGAGGCAGCAGUGGGGAAUAUUGGACAAUGGGGGAAAGCCUGAUCCAGCAAUGCCGCGUGAGUGAUGAAGGACUUAGGGUUGUAAAGCUCUUUUACCCGGGAUGAUAAUGACGGUACCGGGAGAAUAAGCCCCGGCUAACUCCGUG